RNAcentral lists this transfer RNA (76 nucleotides) under Tsukamurella paurometabola. Its description in RNAcentral is "tRNA-Arg(ccg)". The record is from RNAcentral. Lineage: Bacteria; Bacillati; Actinomycetota; Actinomycetes; Mycobacteriales; Tsukamurellaceae.
GGCGCAGUGGCGGGGCCUCACCUCGCUCUCCGGCGGCGAGCAGAAGCGCCUGGCGCUCGAGGCGCUGUUGCGCGGC